AUGCCGACAAGACCCUGUCGCUGCCGUGUUUGCCGGGAUGCGUGUUUGCCACUACAAGGGUGGCAUCAUCCAAAAAUCCCCAUAGUACACCUCCAGUCUCAGCCAGAAAGCCCUGUUGAUCCAACUCAGGAGUUACAAAGUAGCUGGAGAACAAUCAAACAGCUGCAAAGCCUUGAUCCAUUCAAGUUAUCGGAGAAUAGCCGAUUUUUGUGCAGAGCCAUCCUGAAAGAGAUAGACUGCACCAAAGAUUGGUGUUAUCGUGGAUGCUUUCACUGCAGGAAGACGGUCAGCAGGGACGGAAGUGAAUUCUGGUGCAGCCAAUGCGAUCCGGUUAACAAGAAGCGCAAGAGGCCGGUUUUAUGGUACAAGCUAAAUGCAGUGGUGGAAGAUGACACUGGAACCAUGAACUUGGUGAUCUUUGCCGAGGAGGCGCAGCAACUGAUCGGUGUCACGGCAGAAGAACUUUUCAAAGAGAUCACCGGUGAUGGCGGGUGCACCGUGCCAGCUGCAUUCUCAUAUCUUCGCGGCUCGACCCACACCUUCCAAGUUGCCAUGGACGACUGGAGCUCAAGCUUCGUUGUGAAGUGGAUCCUGAACGACAAUGAGUUGACACUAGUGCAGCACGGUGGGUCAGUUCAGUCGACAGUGUCUAGUUGCAACUCACAACUUAUGGAGGAGAAGAUGUUGAUCCUCAAGCCAGAAACCGAACUGAAGACGGAAGAUGAGGCAGGUGCAGAAUGA
RNAcentral lists this ribosomal RNA (741 nucleotides) under Triticum aestivum (bread wheat). RNAcentral's name for it is "partial small subunit ribosomal RNA". Lineage: Eukaryota; Viridiplantae; Streptophyta; Magnoliopsida; Poales; Poaceae. The record is from RNAcentral.